AAUCAUUUUAUGUAUUUUCAAAUUCAAUUGAAAUUGUGUCCUGAGAAUCAGGCGUUAUUGAGGGCAUCAAAACUUGUGAGGACCCCAGGACCACUUCCUUUUUCUUCCUUUGCUAACGGGGCUAGUUAGCUCUGGCUAGAAUGGCCAGAGAAGAGAUAUCAGUGGAGUAUCAGGAUAGAAGAAGAGAAAAAAUGAAUAGUCAGCCUGAGCUGAGGGAAGAGUUUAUAAGAGAGGAAAGGAAAUGACGGAGAAAGAGAGUGGAAGAGGGAUACAUAAAAAAUAUCAAUGUAAAUUCAGCUUAGAAGUACAAUCCUAUCACUAUGGACAAAAUCUCCCACAGGUCACACUUCACACAGGCAUGUUCUACACUGGGCAAGAAAAGGCAGGAUUCUGCACAAUCUCAGAGUCUAAGCGUCAGAAUGCUGCAGCCAUCUGGACCUAUAUGGAUCAAAUCCUCACAUAUAUUCAUAUCAGAAAUCCCACCAUAAACACUGUCCACUUUUAGUCUUAUAGUCCAAUCAAACAGUAUAAAAAUAAAAAGAACUUCUAUCUCCUCUGUGUUGUCCCGCAACAUCUGGAAUUUGAGAAAGCUUCAUGGAAUUUCUUCCAAACAUCACAUGGCAUUACUGCUCCAGAUGGCAUUGGGGCGACGGUGAAGACACGUGCUGAGAGGUCGGGGUAUCAUAGAUGGCAAAGUAUUCUUUGACAUGGUGUCCAACAGCUUAAGUGGUGUCAAACUGUGGCAUGUGACAAAUGAUGAGUUUCAGGCUUAUGACACCUUCUUCAUGCAAACGCUGAAAUCCAUUCCAGGAACAAGAAACAUUCAUCAAGUGUUAUGGCUCAGGGGGGAUGUCAUCCAUUGUAGGAAUACUUUCGUGGUUUUGCAGAGAUUUGCAAGUGCUUCACAGUCCGGCCACUCACUCUUUUGGUGACCCAACACGAGACCCAGAUGUCCAUGAAAGUUCAAUCACUGCCAAAGUUCAGAAUACACUGGAAAUGUUGAUGGAGGAAAUGGAGAAGGAGUCCAGCAGGACACCUGAAGGAACAACGACUCCGAUAGGCCCUGGUGAUAUCCAAAGUGAAGAUCGGCUCAUUGUAUGACGGGAACUGGUGGCUGCCUACAGCCGUACAAAUGGACAAAGAGCAUCAAGAUGUACAAGUGGAAUUUUUUCAGCCUCAUGGACCAACUCUUAGCUUCAAGCAAAAACCAGGUCAUCAGGAUGUCUGCUUUGUGCCAUUUUCUGAUAUUCUAGUUAGACUGAGAAAACUAUCCUCACCAGUCUGUACAAGCAGCACCAGGAGUGUAUACCGCAUAUGGAUUUUAUUGAAGGAGAAUAUGUGACAAGUCUGUUGCAUGGGGAUUAAAUCUACUGAAUUGGCAAUCAGAUUUGAUGUGUAGGAUUUUGUCAUCGCUUUUAUUAUUAUUUUUUAAGAUUUCACUUUGAGAUUUAGAAAGAUUUGAAUUAGUUCACAAUGUAUUUCAAAUGUAUUUACCAGUUCGUCACCACCGUCAGCUCUGUCUACCCCAUCAGAUGGAGUUUGUUGUUUUAAAUAUUCAUUUUGUUUCUUGAUAAGCAUUUGUCUGUAAAAUGUCUGAAUUCAUCAAUUAAAAGAACUAAGACAAUA
Non-coding RNA from Poecilia reticulata (guppy), 1626 nucleotides. The record is from RefSeq and is a predicted model, not a curated record. NCBI's taxonomy places the organism in Eukaryota, Metazoa, Chordata, Actinopteri, Cyprinodontiformes, Poeciliidae.